ACCUGUCUGGCUCAUUGGGUACAGCAUGUGACUCUUGAUCUUGGGGUCAUGAGUUCAAGCCCCAUGAUAGGUG
RNAcentral lists this transfer RNA (73 nucleotides) under Felis catus (domestic cat). It matches the Rfam family "tRNA". From Rfam's summary of the family: Transfer RNA (tRNA) molecules are approximately 80 nucleotides in length. Their secondary structure includes four short double-helical elements and three loops (D, anti-codon, and T loops). The record is from Rfam by way of RNAcentral. Lineage: Eukaryota; Metazoa; Chordata; Mammalia; Carnivora; Felidae.